AUGUCUGAGAGGCUUGAUGAUGAGGAAACCAUGGAAACGACUCUCGCCAGCGGAGAGGACCGCCUCGAGGCCCUCCCAAAUGAUCUUCUCAUCUAUCUUAUGUCGUUCCUGCCUUCCCGCGACUCUGUGCGGACAUGCGUUCUCGGUAAGCGUUGGAGCACGCUCUGGAAGUCUGUGCCCGCCCUACGCAUCGAUGACCCCGAUAGCUACGACGCCGUUAGUGGCUCCAACACAUUUGUGAACGAGUUUCUUCGCCUUCGCGACCCAACUCCUCUAAAUGUAUGUGACAUCAGUUCGGAUUGCGUGGAGACUACGGCUGAUUACCCCGAAUGGGCCGACGAGGCAUUCCAACAAAUGAAGCCGUGGGUCUGGUAUGCUCUAUCGUGUCAAGUUCAAGUGCUUAAAAUUUGUUUUCCCUGGCGGGUAAUCGACACUACUCUCAUCUCGUCGCACUUGAAGAGGUUACAUCUCGAUGGCAUGCACUUUGAGGGAUGCUCGCUCGAUUUUUCGAGUUGUAAGGUGCUAGAGGUGUUAGAGAUGAUAAGUUGUGACAUCUAUGCGAAUAUCAUGUCCCAAACAUUACGACAUCUUAAAAUUAAUGGUGGGGGGUUUUGUAUUGAUGACCGCAUUCGUAUUUCCACCCCAAAUCUCAUUGGCUUCAGACUAGCUCCACUUUGGGGUUGGGCUCCUUUGCUUGAUAGCAUGCCAUCACUUGUAACAACAUCUGUAAAGCUUGGAGAAGGGUGUGAGGAGGAACUGUGUUACUGUAGUAAUCCAUCAUGUGAGGGAUGUGAUGCUCAACCUGGUGGAACCAACUAUCCCGUGGCUCUGCAAAGUUUGUCGGGUGCUACAAAUUUGAAGUUGAAAAUAUAUGAUCCGACACGGUUAUCUAUUUUCAGAAUGGAUUUGAAAUGGCGCCCUGUGUUUAGGAAGUUAAAAACAUUGUUGCUCAAUGAAUGGUGUGUCGGUGAUGAUUUUACUGGAUUGAUUUACUUUCUCCAGCACUCACCAAUUCUAGAGACACUUACGCUUCAGCUUGAUCUUGAAAGUUCUCAGGAUUAUCAUUUGAGCAAAACUGAUGAAAGUUGUAACUUAAAGGAACAGUCAUUGCUAUCACCACAUCUCAAGGUAGUCAAAAUUAUAUGUUGCACGCCGGAAGAUGUGAUAGUUCGCCGUAUUUUAAAGAUUCUAUGUGCCCAUGGAGUGCCUUACGAAAAAAUUGAGGUUGAAGUUCGCAUGGUUCAAUUUCGAUCUAUAUAUGAUCAGAUCAUCCCCGUUAUUCAAACUUGA
Molecule: ribosomal RNA, 1290 nt
Filed under: Triticum aestivum (bread wheat)
Lineage: Eukaryota; Viridiplantae; Streptophyta; Magnoliopsida; Poales; Poaceae
Description: partial small subunit ribosomal RNA
Source: RNAcentral